ACAAGAUGAAAGGAGCUGAGUUAGGAAAAAAAUAAUAACAAUCUCUCUGACAGCACAUUUUCUCAAAUACUAAGUGUUUUAUGAAUAUAGACAGAUAUUGUAGGACUUAUGGAAUGUAUCCUUCUUUGUUUUGCUGCUGAAAUCAUAAGGAUUCAAAAUACAGAAUUUGUGAGCUGUCUUAACUCUUAUUUUAAAGUAUUCUGUGUGAGUUGUGUGGGAACCAAAACUGACUUCUAAAAGAUUAGAUGACUUGCACAAAGUCUAACAAUGAGUUAGGAUUAAAGUGACAUUAAUGACCAUCUAGUCCAACCUCUGACAGACAAUUUUACAGAUAAGGAAAUUGAGGCCCAGAGAGUUUAGGACACUUGCCAAAAUCAUACCAUUUGUAGUAACAGAUCUGGAACAGAUCUGGAUCUUUUCAUUUUCUAUGGAUCCUUAUUUCCUCCUACCUGGUAGUAGUAUAGAGAAGAAUCAGCAGCAUCAUGAACUAUAAGAAAAUGACAGGAAGAAGGGAAAACAGAGAAACCUUUGCUUCUGGGUGAUGUAAUUUGCCAUGAACAGAAGAUUAGGAAACCAGAGCCCAGAUAUUUACUUGGCUAAAGUUACACAGGACUAUUUGAACAGUUCCCCAAUUGGUUGGAAGUUCCAUUAUUGGUUGGAAGGGUUGUUGUUCUCUUUGAUGGUGCCUCUGGGAUUGGCAGUCUUCCCUUAUCCUGGUUGGUCCAAAUGAAGAUACAGUCUAAGGCUCUGAAGGAAUUGUCAAAUGGGCUCGUGGUUGAGUUAAUAAUCCUAGUAAGAGUCAAGUGAGAGAAUGGAGUCCAUUCAGAAGUUCAAACUUCAUAAGAACAAGGAUGUCAUACAACUUUUGGGUAUUCAGUCCAGAGAAGGGGCAUUUUGACAUAUCCACAAAAGGAUGAGAGAUCUUACACUUACCACUAAGAGACCCAGAAUAUCAUCAUCCUUUUUUGUCUUCUGAAGAUAGCAUAUCUCCAACUUGGGCAUUAUCCUGUAACCCACCUAUGAGAUUAUGAAGCAGUCCACACAAUUUAAAUGGAAUUACAAUCAACACAAUACCUCAGAGGUUGCCUGAAGUAAAGUUUAUAUAGCCCACCUUGUAUCAAAUGUCUGCUUGGACUGCUUGGAGGAUGUCACAACAAGCUGAGAAGAAGGAAGAAAGGUAAGUAAAAGGGGCCCUAACUAAAUUGCAUUAUCCAUAGCAAUCCCUUGUAGGUUUAUGCAUGUGCCUACCAUAGAAAAUCAAAGAUCUGUUAUUGGUGGCAGAAAUAUAGCUGAAAGAAAACGGGAUUAUUUUUGUUAUUGGGGGUUUUUUUUCUUUAGAAACUGAGGCAUUGUUUGCUGAUUGGUUUGGAAAUGGCCAUAAAAAUAAACAUCAAAUUAAACAGACUUCU
Long non-coding RNA from Sarcophilus harrisii (Tasmanian devil), 1409 nucleotides. RefSeq lists it as uncharacterized. The transcript is spliced from 4 exons. The record is from RefSeq and is a predicted model, not a curated record. Lineage: Eukaryota; Metazoa; Chordata; Mammalia; Dasyuromorphia; Dasyuridae.